Molecule: ribosomal RNA, 254 nt
Filed under: uncultured bacterium
Lineage: Bacteria
Description: partial 16S ribosomal RNA
Rfam family: Bacterial small subunit ribosomal RNA
Source: RNAcentral
UACGUAGGGUGCGAGCGUUGUCCGGAAUUAUUGGGCGUAAAGAGCUCGUAGGCGGUGUGUCGCGUCGGCCGUGAAAACCUGGGGCUCAACUCUGGGCGUGCGGUCGAUACGGGCAUCACUUGAGUUCGGCAGGGGAGACUGGAAUUCCUGGUGUAGCGGUGAAAUGCGCAGAUAUCAGGAGGAACACCGGUGGCGAAGGCGGGUCUCUGGGCCGAUACUGACGCUGAGACGCGAGGGCGUGGGGAGCGAACGGG